This is a long non-coding RNA of Coregonus clupeaformis (lake whitefish), 187 nucleotides long. RefSeq lists it as uncharacterized. The record is from RefSeq and is a predicted model, not a curated record. The transcript is spliced from 3 exons. Lineage: Eukaryota; Metazoa; Chordata; Actinopteri; Salmoniformes; Salmonidae.
GUGAUAUUCUCUGAAGUUGCAGAUGCAGAGGACUUGAGGCCAUGUGCCACCUCAAGCCAGAGCGACAUUAGUCCAAGUGGCAGCCAGGAAGAAGCUGGCCAAGACAGAGCAUCAGAAUCAGACCAAGAGCUGCCAUCCCUGCUUGAUGAGCCUGUGGCUUCUGAGAUGCCCGCUGGAUACAUUAAAG